GGCUGAAGCUCCGCCCCUCCAACAUCUCACACGCACACACUCACACCUGUUAGACCACUUUAAACUAUCAGCUUCACCUCCAGGCUGCACUGAUCUGAUUGGCAGGUGAAGCUGCAGCCGUUUCACCACAGAAGAAGACCGAGCAGAGCAGAGUGGAGAGGAGUGAGACCAGCUGAGGUUCUUCUGAACACCAGAUCUCCAGGACCUUCAUGACCAUGUCUGUGUCUCAGCUUAGAUCUGAACUGGGACCAUCUGGACUGAAGCGUUUGUGUGUUUGGCUGAAAGGCUGCCUUGCCCCCCCUCCCCUCCCCCUCCCUGGUGGUGGUGUCCCCCCUCCUCUCCCCCUCCCUGGUGGUGGUGCCCCCCCUCCCCUCCCCCUCCCUGGUGGUGGUGUCCCCCGCCCCUCCUCACCGUCUCGCCGUCUCCUCCUGCUGGUCCUGACGCUGAGUGGCGUGCUGCUGAUGCUGCUGCUGCUGAUGACCAACUACCACUGUCUGUUCGUGUCCCGCAUCUGCUCCCCACCGGGGGAAGAGGGGGGCACCACCCAGACCCUCCUGGGACCGGACUGAACUGGUCCAGUCCUACAGAAACCAGAUUCACAUGUUAAAGUCUCAUGUUUAGAAUAUUUUGCUUCAUAAUCUACAAACUGAAAGAAAUAAAGAAACAUUUUUUAGAA
This is a long non-coding RNA of Centropristis striata (black sea bass), 676 nucleotides long. RefSeq lists it as uncharacterized. The record is from RefSeq and is a predicted model, not a curated record. The transcript has 3 exons. Lineage: Eukaryota; Metazoa; Chordata; Actinopteri; Perciformes; Serranidae.